Molecule: long non-coding RNA, 631 nt
Organism: Physeter macrocephalus (sperm whale)
Lineage: Eukaryota; Metazoa; Chordata; Mammalia; Artiodactyla; Physeteridae
Exons: 4
Source: RefSeq, a predicted model, not a curated record
GCGCCUAGGGGCGGAGGCUGGGAACGCCCCGCCGGAGUGGGCUAGGGGGUUGGUCCCCGGCUCUUUCUCGGCGCUUGUUUCCACUAGGCUGGGCCGUGCGGGAUGGGAAGUUUUAUUGAGAUAUAAUUGACAUACAGCACUGUAUAACCAAUCAAGGUUUUACACAACGCAGAGUACUAAGGAUCACGGCUCCAAUCAAGGUUUUAAACUGGGAAAGUUCUGGACAGAACAUUUCCUUGGCUGCUAGGAAGCUCAGACUGACUUUGUAACCCACCUUUGGCAAAAGAAACAAAGAUCUCUACAGUCACUUCAAGCAUUUUUGCACCAAUAGAUUAAGGACUUCCCUGGUGGCACAGUGGUUAAGAAUCCACCUGCCAAUGCAGGGGACACGGGUUCGAGCCCUGGUCCGGAAAGAUCCCACAUGCCGCGGAGCAGCUAAGACCGUGUGCCAUAACUACUGAGCCUGCGCUCUAGAGCCCACAAGCCACAACUACUGAAGCCUGCGUGCCUAGAGCCCGUGCUCCGUAACAAGACAAGCCACCACAAUGAGGAGCCUGCACACCGCAACGAAGAGUAGCCCCCGCUCGCCGCAACUAGAGAAAGCCUGCAUGCAGCAACGGAGACCCAAUGC